Molecule: small RNA, 74 nt
Filed under: Xanthomonas vasicola
Lineage: Bacteria; Pseudomonadati; Pseudomonadota; Gammaproteobacteria; Lysobacterales; Lysobacteraceae
Also listed under: 16 other names
Description: sX9 sRNA
Rfam family: Xanthomonas sRNA sX9
Source: RNAcentral
AUGUACCACGAACACUCCGUGUCCUCUGCGCCGUCCGCACCCAACUGAUGGCGACUCGCUACGUUUUGUUAGCC